Molecule: transfer RNA, 77 nt
Filed under: Alloprevotella tannerae ATCC 51259
Lineage: Bacteria; Pseudomonadati; Bacteroidota; Bacteroidia; Bacteroidales; Prevotellaceae
Description: tRNA-Arg
Rfam family: tRNA
About the family: Transfer RNA (tRNA) molecules are approximately 80 nucleotides in length. Their secondary structure includes four short double-helical elements and three loops (D, anti-codon, and T loops). Further hydrogen bonds mediate the characteristic L-shaped molecular structure. tRNAs have two regions of fundamental functional importance: the anti-codon, which is responsible for specific mRNA codon recognition, and the 3' end, to which the tRNAs corresponding amino acid is attached (by aminoacyl-tRNA synthetases). tRNAs cope with the degeneracy of the genetic code in two manners: having more than one tRNA (with a specific anti-codon) for a particular amino acid; and 'wobble' base-pairing, i.e. permitting non-standard base-pairing at the 3rd anti-codon position.
Source: RNAcentral
GGUUCAGUAGCUCAGUUGGAUAGAGCAACAGCCUUCUAAGCUGUGGGUCUUGGGUUCGAAUCCCAACUGAAUCACUA